Molecule: non-coding RNA, 200 nt
Organism: Callorhinus ursinus (northern fur seal)
Lineage: Eukaryota; Metazoa; Chordata; Mammalia; Carnivora; Otariidae
Source: RefSeq, a predicted model, not a curated record
GGUGGCUCAGUCGUUGGGCUCUUCAGCUUGCAUGCGCCUUUCCCAUAUAGGUCAUGCCUUCAAAUGAGAGUUCAUUCAUAUAUGUAGACGAUACACUGAAGUAUUGGAUCUUUAUAUUUAGGAUGUAAUUGAUAAUAAGUUCUUUGAUAGCAAGUAGACCAUCACCUUCUAUCAUUUUAGGUUUCCAUUCCUGUACUCUU